RNA transcript from Cucurbita moschata (crookneck pumpkin), 2179 nucleotides. It is a transcript of the gene named glucan endo-1,3-beta-glucosidase 14-like, with no coding region annotated. The record is from RefSeq and is a predicted model, not a curated record. NCBI's taxonomy places the organism in Eukaryota, Viridiplantae, Streptophyta, Magnoliopsida, Cucurbitales, Cucurbitaceae. The transcript is spliced from 6 exons.
UUCAAAUAAAAGCUGUCCGGAUACGUCUGCAGCGUCUCACUGUAAAACGCGUACUCCAUGAAAUUUAGUCCCCAGUUUCUGGCUGGGGAUAAUCCUAUCUGCUGAUUCACGGCCGUUACGGAGGCGGACAUAGCGGUGCGCGGUGUUUUGUUGGUUUGGCCUUAUCAUUUCAGUCCUUCAUGGCUAACUUCUACCGCCUCUUCCGAGUUCUGUUGAUGUUUUUCACUCUCUCAGCAUAUUCUUUGUCUUUUACGAAUUUCUGUUCUCCAGUGAAUAAUUACGAAAUUGAGAUGCCCUGUUCAGUAAUCCGAACCAUGAGUGUUGGAAUUGGAAUUAACUACGGCCAGAUCGCUAAUAAUCUGCCGUCCCCAUCACGCGUCGCCAUUCUUCUCCGAAGUCUAAACAUCAGUAGAGUAAAAUUGUACGACGCAGACCCUAAUGUCUUGUUUGCAUUCUCCAGGAGUGAUGUGAAUUUCAUUAUAGGACUUGGCAAUGAAUAUCUCCAGAACAUGUCCGAUCACGAGGAAGCCCUAGCUUGGGUUCAACAAAAUGUUCAAACACACAUCUCUCAGACUCAAAUCACUUGCAUCACAGUUGGCAAUGAAGUUUUCAACUCCAAUGAUUCCCAAUUAAGGUCUAAUCUUCUUCCUGCAAUGCAAUCUGUUUAUAACGCGCUUGUUAAUCUUGGGCUGGAUAAGCAGGUUUCUGUUACCACAGCUCAUUCUCUUAAUAUCCUAGCCAACUCUUUCCCUCCGUCGGCUGGGACAUUCAAGCCGGAUCUUGCUGAACUCAUACAGCCAAUUCUCAAUUUCCACUCGAUGGUUAAGUCACCUUUUCUUAUAAAUGCAUAUCCCUUUUUUGCAUACAAGGAUAGCCCUGCCCAAGUUCCCCUAGAAUAUGUGCUUUUCCAGCCUAACCAAGGGAUGACUGAUCCCAUUACAAAUUUGCACUAUGACAAUAUGCUGUAUGCUCAAAUCGAUGCGGUUUAUGCUGCCAUCAAAGCCAUGGGACAUACAGAUAUCCAAGUCCAAGUCUCUGAGACUGGUUGGCCAUCUCAGGGCGAUAUGAACGAGGUCGGUGCUACACCAGAGAACGCAGGGUUGUAUAAUGGUAAUUUGCUAAGAAGAAUUCAGAGUGGACAAGGAACCCCGGCAAAACCAUCAGUUCCGAUCGAUAUCUAUGUUUUUGCUUUGUUUAACGAGGAUUUGAAACCCGGUCCAGCAUCGGAGAGAAACUAUGGUCUUUACUAUCCUGAUGGUACACCAGUUUAUAACAUUGGAUUGCAGGGGUAUCUCCCAGAGUUGUUGUAUUCAUCGUCCAAAAGAAAUGUUUUCUCAGUUUUGAGCUUGCUUCUUAUAUUCAUAGCCUAUCAAUUAAUAAUGAGACAGUAGAAGUAUAGAUAGUUGAAAUUCUUAUUCUUAGCAUGAUGUGUUUUAUAGAGGAGCCCGUACAGAUAGAUCCCUUCAGCUGCUGCACCUAACCAUCCAUCUGUAUUAUAUGUUUACUUCCUAUCCCAUCAUCAAUUUGGUUCAUUGGAUGAGUUCUUUUUGUAGUUUCUCACAGCAAUAGAGUAUUAUCAUUUCAUUAUGAAGCUUUUUCACUGUCUUGAAUUGAAAUAAUAUUGUGCUCCAGAAGAAGAACCGGUUUCUUUUUUCUUCAACUCUUUGCAGCUUCAUUUAGGUCUGAUGUAGUAAAUCUCACAAAACUCAAAGGUACUCAUAUCGGAAAAGGGUACUGAACACAUACCUGGGAAGCCGAAUUUGAAACUGCAAAAGCUGAGGAUGGUUGACUAUAGGGAAUGAUCACGGAUUUAUAGGAACAGAAGGUGGGCAUCAGCUUCUGGCCCUUUUGGUGGAGUGAUCUCAUACGUGGCGGGGCCAAGUGAUUCAAGUAGUAAGGGAGAAAGAUGAGGUUUCUUUCUAUAUGAGGCGGUGGCUGUCCUUUUCAAAGGGAGGUAUGGGAAGAGAUUUGGUGGGUGGCUUACAAAUAAAGGAAUUAGGUAUUUUAUUUUUGUUGGUAUUUUGGAUGAGGUGUUAAUGGAUAUCUUCAUCUCUUAAAAAUGGACUGAACCAUAACGAGCAUUAAUGAUUUUGGAUGAUGAUGUUUGGAUUGCCAUUUUCAUGUAUUUGAGAUUUCUGAUAUUUCUUAGGGAAAUUGGCCUCCUUUUUAUAUUCUUUUA